CUCUCCUGCACCCUGUCCUUAAGUGCCAGCCAGGAUUCCCAGCCGGACGGGAGCCCAGUCCAGGGUCUGAGUGCAGCUGCCCGUAAGUGACUUUCUGGGAAGAGCUACUUUGGAAUCCAUUUGCUCAUUUUUAAAAUCUUCUUACAUUUAUAACGCUCCUCUUUCCAGGGCAGACAUUCCACACGAUGGCCUCCACGCUGGGAUUAAUGAUCUCUGGUUCUUUAGAUCCCCUUGCGGUCACGUCGUGAAUGAGGAUGGGACUGAUGAGGAAGAGGAUCGCUCUCCGCCAAUCCGGGGGCGAAAUCCUUCACGGCACAAGCAAGUGGAGACUGUGCUUCUGGAGGAUCAGAUGAGGGGCACAUAUGUGACCCAGCGCCGCCGCUCACCUCGGCGGUCCCCCUCAGCUGGCAUGGAUGGACUUUCUCCUCUGGUAUCUGAAAAGGACCUUGAUACUAUUCAGCCCUUGAUCUGCUGCCCUUCCCGUCAGGGCGGAUCAGGCAAGUUUCUGAGCAAAGUGACCCGGCGCAAGGAUCGGCCUCAGCGGGACAAUUCGGACAGCGACACUGACCAGGCAGAGACCUCGGCUAAGGACACUGGAUAAAUCUGGCCUGGACUCACUCUAUUCAGAGAGAGGAUGAUAAACACAAAACUCUUUGAACCCAUUCUUCUCCAAAACUUGGAGGAGGAAAGGAUUGUGCACCUGUCAGCCAUUAACUAUCCAGCGCAACAACGCAGUGAGCGUUGGGGUGACCAAGGGAAUAGGUGCAAAGCACUGCUGUAAUGUGAGUCGCCUCCUGGAUAAACUUCAGACCUGAUCCAUGAAGGGAUGAGAUGAAAAAAUCAUUCAUCAGCAAAGGUUGCCACCUCUUCCACACAUAUAUAUAAAUACAUAAAAUCUAAAUAAAACAAUGUUGGCUAUUGCUCUUUUACA
Molecule: long non-coding RNA, 931 nt
Filed under: Pogona vitticeps (central bearded dragon)
Lineage: Eukaryota; Metazoa; Chordata; Lepidosauria; Squamata; Agamidae
Description: lncRNA (ENSPVIG00000009185.1)
Source: RNAcentral